This 59-nucleotide transfer RNA is filed under the name Nephroselmis pyriformis. It matches the Rfam family "tRNA", at positions 8 to 63 of the family's 71-position model. From Rfam's summary of the family: Transfer RNA (tRNA) molecules are approximately 80 nucleotides in length. Their secondary structure includes four short double-helical elements and three loops (D, anti-codon, and T loops). The record is from RNAcentral. Lineage: Eukaryota; Viridiplantae; Chlorophyta; Nephroselmidophyceae; Nephroselmidales; Nephroselmidaceae.
UAGCUCAGGGGUAGAGCAAUUGGCUUUUAACCUAGAGGUCGUAGGUUCAAAUCCUACCG